CGUAGGUGAAGCUGCGGAAGGAUCAUUG
RNAcentral lists this ribosomal RNA (28 nucleotides) under Eucalyptus brachyandra. Its description in RNAcentral is "partial 18S ribosomal RNA". Lineage: Eukaryota; Viridiplantae; Streptophyta; Magnoliopsida; Myrtales; Myrtaceae. The record is from RNAcentral.